This 224-nucleotide long non-coding RNA is filed under the name Volvox carteri. Its description in RNAcentral is "long non-coding RNA (VCAR_LNC002660)". Lineage: Eukaryota; Viridiplantae; Chlorophyta; Chlorophyceae; Chlamydomonadales; Volvocaceae. The record is from RNAcentral.
ACUGGGGUCCUGGUGACGCAGCUGCCCGCGUUCGCAAAGUAUGUCCCUAAGGCACUGAUUGGGUCGGUAACCCAUGGGUUACCCAUCUUCAACCCCCGGUAGCCCAUUGGUAACCCCCUUGUAAGUUCCUACCCAGCAGGAGGGGUAACACGGCCCCAGGGUAAACCCCUCCGUUGCCCUGGACUAUGGACGUAUGUAGGCUACUCGUCUUAUAUGCUUCCCAC